Molecule: ribosomal RNA, 483 nt
Filed under: uncultured bacterium
Lineage: Bacteria
Description: partial 16S ribosomal RNA
Rfam family: Bacterial small subunit ribosomal RNA
Source: RNAcentral
ACUCAAAGGAAUUGACGGGGACCCGCACAAGCGGUGGAGCGUGUUCUUUAAUUCGAUGGUAAGCGAAGAACCUUACCAAGGUUUGACAUCCUACCAAUUUCUCCGAAAGGAGAGAGUGCCUUCGGGCCGUAGUGACAGGUGAUGCAUGGCCGUCUUCAGCUCGUGUCGUGAGAUGUUAGGUUAAGUCCUUCAACGAGCGCAACCCUUAUACUUAGUUGGAUUUCUCUAGGUAGACUGCCCCGGUAACGGGGAGGAAGGAGGGGAUGAUGUCAGGUCAGUAUUUCCCUUACACCUUGGGCUAGAAACACGCUACAAUGGCCGGUACAAAGGGCAGCCAAGUCGCAAGACGGAGCAAAUCCCAUCAAAGCCGGUCCCAGUUCGGAUAGGAGGCUGAAACUCGCCUUCUUGAAGUCGGAAUCGCUAGUAACGGUAGGUCAGCACACUACCGUGAAUACGUUCCCGGGUCUUGCACACACCGCCCGU